UAUUUAAUAAUUUAAUAAAAAAUUUUAAAUUGCAAAUUUAAAUAUAUCAAUAAUAAUGAUUUAAAUAU
This 68-nucleotide transfer RNA is filed under the name Megaphragma amalphitanum. Its description in RNAcentral is "tRNA-Cys". Lineage: Eukaryota; Metazoa; Arthropoda; Insecta; Hymenoptera; Trichogrammatidae. The record is from RNAcentral.